RNAcentral lists this ribosomal RNA (253 nucleotides) under uncultured bacterium. Its description in RNAcentral is "partial 16S ribosomal RNA". It matches the Rfam family "Bacterial small subunit ribosomal RNA", at positions 524 to 776 of the family's 1533-position model. The record is from RNAcentral.
UACAGAGGUCUCAACCGUUGUCCGGAUUUACUGGGCGUAAAGGGCGUGCAGGCGGUUUGUUAAGUGCAGAGUGAAAGCUCCCGGCUCAACUGGGAGAGGUCUUUGCAUACUGGCAAACUCGAGGGAGGCAGAGGAAAGUGGAAUUCCCGGUGUAGUGGUGAUAUGCGUAGAUAUCGGGAGGAACACCUGUGGCGAAGGCGGCUUUCUGGGCCUUACCUGACGCUGAGACGCGAAAGCGUGGGGAGCGAACCGG